GUUUCCCUAACGGGAUCCUGGUGCCCCAUGCCCGGGCRGGUGAGAAAAUUGCAUCAGAGCUGAUGACAAGUUAAGGAUACGCUGGCUCCAGAAGUGGCAGCCUCAAAGAGGCAGGUGCUGAAUCCAGGAGCUGCAGCCGUUGCCAGGACCCUUGGAGCACCAGCUGUAACCUGGUGUGGCACAUUGUGCAUCCUCUGCCUCGCUUGGAUGCACUGGGAUUUCGGGAUCACCGGCUCGGCUUCCCUGCAGCGAUGGAGCCGCCGGAUCAGAUGCGGUGCCCGGAGCCCUGCACGCGGAGACGCCGCAUCAUCGGCAAGGGAAGGGACGACGGCUUCGAUUCCCUGCGUGCGGCCUCUCCGAUGGCUUUAUCAAGGGAGUAGAAGUUCCUGCAGCUCGUUGAACCCUAUGCUUUAUCCRUGCAUUUAAAUCAAUCCUCUAUGCUGCAUUUCAUCCCUUCUCCCUGAGCUUUCUCUGUUAGACCUGAGCCAUAAUCACAGUGUUUUGGAGCAAGCGAGAUGCUGUGGGUGGUUAUUGCAGCAGCUCUGCYGUGGCCCCUCCU
Long non-coding RNA from Nothoprocta perdicaria, 559 nucleotides. RefSeq lists it as uncharacterized. Lineage: Eukaryota; Metazoa; Chordata; Aves; Tinamiformes; Tinamidae. The record is from RefSeq and is a predicted model, not a curated record. The transcript is spliced from 2 exons.